Molecule: ribosomal RNA, 468 nt
Filed under: uncultured bacterium
Lineage: Bacteria
Description: partial 16S ribosomal RNA
Rfam family: Bacterial small subunit ribosomal RNA
Source: RNAcentral
GACGAACGCUGGCGGCGUGCUUAACAGAUGCAAGUCGAACGGAAAGGCCCUGCUUUUGUGGGGUGCUCGAGUGGCGAACGGGUGAGUAACACGUGAGUAACCUGCCCUUGACUUUGGGAUAACUUCAGGAAACUGGGGCUAAUACCGGAUAGGAGCUCCUGCUGCAUGGUGGGGGUUGGAAAGUUUCGGCGGUUGGGGAUGGACUCGCGGCUUAUCAGCUUGUUGGUGGGGUAGUGGCUUACCAAGGCUUUGACGGGUAGCCGGCCUGAGAGGGUGACCGGCCACAUUGGGACUGAGAUACGGCCCAGACUCCUACGGGAGGCAGCAGUGGGGAAUAUUGCACAAUGGGCGGAAGCCUGAUGCAGCAACGCCGCGUGCGGGAUGACGGCCUUCGGGUUGUAAACCGCUUUCGCCUGUGACGAAGCGUGAGUGACGGUAAUGGGUAAAGAAGCACCGGCUAACUACGUG